UGUUACAAUGGCAGGUACAGAGGGGUGCUACCGGGUGACCGGAUGCCGAUCUCGAAAACCUGUCCCAGUUCGGACUGGAGUCUGCAACCCGACUCCACGAAGUUGGAUUCGCUAGUAAUCGCGCAUCAGCCAUGGCGCGGUGAAUACGUUCCCGGGCCUUGUACACACCGCCCGUCAAGCCAUGGGAGCCGGGGGCGCCUGAAGUCCGGGACCGCGAGGACCGGCCUAGGGCGAAACUGGUGACUGGGGCUAAGUCGUAACAAGGUACC
RNAcentral lists this ribosomal RNA (269 nucleotides) under uncultured bacterium. RNAcentral describes it as "partial 16S ribosomal RNA". It matches the Rfam family "Bacterial small subunit ribosomal RNA", at positions 1223 to 1500 of the family's 1533-position model. The record is from RNAcentral.